CCUACGGGGGGCUGCAGUGGGGAAUAUUGGACAAUGGGCGAAAGCCUGAUCCAGCAAUGCCGCGUGAGUGAUGAAGGCCUUAGGGUUGUAAAGCUCUUUUACCAGGGAUGAUAAUGACAGUACCUGGAGAAUAAGCUCCGGCUAACUCCGUGCCAGCAGCCGCGGUAAUACGGAGGGAGCUAGCGUUGUUCGGAAUUACUGGGCGUAAAGCGUGCGUAGGCGGUGACUCAAGUCAGAGGUGAAAGCCUGGAGCUCAACUCCAGAACUGCCUUUGAAACUAGGUCGCUAGAAUCUGGGAGAGGUGAGUGGAAUUCCGAGUGUAGAGGUGAAAUUCGUAGAUAUUCGGAAGAACACCAGUGGCGAAGGCGGCUCACUGGACCAGAAUUGACGCUGAGGCACGAAAGCGUGGGGAGCAAACAGGAUUAGAUACCCCUGUAGUC
RNAcentral lists this ribosomal RNA (440 nucleotides) under uncultured Sphingomonadaceae bacterium. RNAcentral describes it as "bacterial SSU rRNA". It matches the Rfam family "Bacterial small subunit ribosomal RNA", at positions 338 to 795 of the family's 1533-position model. Lineage: Bacteria; Pseudomonadati; Pseudomonadota; Alphaproteobacteria; Sphingomonadales; Sphingomonadaceae. The record is from RNAcentral.